RNAcentral lists this ribosomal RNA (505 nucleotides) under uncultured bacterium. RNAcentral describes it as "partial 16S ribosomal RNA". It matches the Rfam family "Bacterial small subunit ribosomal RNA", at positions 28 to 507 of the family's 1533-position model. The record is from RNAcentral.
GACGAACGCUGGCGGCGUGCCUAAUACAUGCAAGUAGAACGCACAGUUUAUACCGUAGCUUGCUACACCAUAAACUGUGAGUUGCGAACGGGUGAGUAACGCGUAGGUAACCUGCCUGGUAGCGGGGGAUAACUAUUGGAAACGAUAGCUAAUACCGCAUAAUAUUGAUUAUUGCAUGAUAAUUGAUUGAAAGAUGCUAUUGCAUCACUACCAGAUGGACCGUCGUUGUAUUAGCUAGUAGGUGAGGUAACGGCGCGUCUCGGCGACGAUACAUAGACGACAUGAGAGGGUGGUCGGCCACACUGGGACGGUGACACGGCACAGACGCCUACGGGAGGCAGCAGUAGGGAAUCUUCGGCAAUGGACGAAAGUCUGACCGAGAAACGCCGAGUGAGUGAAGAAGGUUUUCGGAUCGUAAAGCUCUGUUGUAAGAGAAGAACGGGCGUGAGAGUGGAAAGUUCACACUGUGACGGUAUCUUACCAGAAAGGGACGGCUAACUACGUG